GAUGAACGCUGGCGGCGUGCCUAAUACAUGCAAGUCGAGCGAACAGACGAGGAGCUUGCUCCUCUGACGUUAGCGGCGGACGGGUGAGUAACACGUGGAUAACCUACCUAUAAGACUGGGAUAACUUCGGGAAACCGGAGCUAAUACCGGAUAAUAUAUUGAACCGCAUGGUUCAAUAGUGAAAGACGGUUUUGCUGUCACUUAUAGAUGGAUCCGCGCCGCAUUAGCUAGUUGGUAAGGUAACGGCUUACCAAGGCGACGAUGCGUAGCCGACCUGAGAGGGGGGUAGGCAAAAUGGGAGAGGGACAGGGGACAGACCGCAGGGGGGAGGAGGCAGAAGGAAAACGGCAGAAGUGGGGGAAAGCAUGACGAAAAAGGCCGGAGUGGGUGAGAAAGGUGUUGGGAGCGAAAAAAUGGUUUAUGGGGAAAAAAAAAAUGUGAAAUGAAAAGGAACCGUAGGGACGGUAAUAAAUAAAAAAGCAACGGCUAACUACGUG
This 497-nucleotide ribosomal RNA is filed under the name uncultured bacterium. RNAcentral's name for it is "partial 16S ribosomal RNA". It matches the Rfam family "Bacterial small subunit ribosomal RNA", at positions 28 to 507 of the family's 1533-position model. The record is from RNAcentral.